Molecule: ribosomal RNA, 468 nt
Filed under: uncultured bacterium
Lineage: Bacteria
Description: partial 16S ribosomal RNA
Rfam family: Bacterial small subunit ribosomal RNA
Source: RNAcentral
GACGAACGCUGGCGGCGUGCUUAACACAUGCAGGUCGAACGGAAAGGCCCUGCUUUUGUGGGGUGCUCGAGUGGCGAACGGGUGAGUAACACGUGAGUAACCUGCCCUUGACUUUGGGAUAACUUCAGGAAACUGGGGCUAAUACCGGAUAGGAGCUCCUGCUGCAUGGUGGGGGUUGGAAAGUUUCGGCGGUUGGGUAUGGACUCGCGGCUUAUCAGCUUGUUGGUGGGGUAGUGGCUUACCAAGGCUUUGACGGGUAGCCGGCCUGAGAGGGUGACCGGCCACAUUGGGACUGAGAUACGGCCCAGACUCCUACGGGAGGCAGCAGUGGGGAAUAUUGCACAAUGGGCGGAAGCCUGAUGCAGCAACGCCGCGUGCGGGAUGACGGCCUUCGGGUUGUAAACCGCUUUCGCCUGUGACGAAGCGUGAGUGACGGUAAUGGGUAAAGAAGCACCGGCUAACUACGUG